Molecule: long non-coding RNA, 268 nt
Filed under: Gossypium barbadense (sea-island cotton)
Lineage: Eukaryota; Viridiplantae; Streptophyta; Magnoliopsida; Malvales; Malvaceae
Description: long non-coding RNA (GBAR_LNC002108)
Source: RNAcentral
ACAGAUACCCCACUCACAAUCUCCUCAGAGCAGUCCAAGUCAUCCAUAAUCCGUUCUGUGGCCUCCAACCAAUAUUCUACCACAUUCGGGGCUAUACCAGACAUGCCCUUAAAGAUCUCUGUUCCGUUAGUCCCGAAGUCAUUCAGAAAUAGAUCCCUGAAUUUUAUUGCCCGAACUUGCUCCGGCAACCCUUUCCAGAACACGAAGCAUUACCUGUGAUAGGGCAUCAUCCUCGGCACCGCGGUCAUGAGACUCUACCUCUGUUGCC